GAUGAACGCUGGCGGCGUGCCUAAUACAUGCCAGUCGAGCGAACGGACGAGAAGCUUGCUUUUCUGAUGUUAGCGGCGGACGGGUGAGUAGCACGUGGAUAACCUACCUAUAAGACUGGGAUAACUUCGGGAAACCGGAGCUAAUACCGGAUAAUAUUUUGAACCGCAUGGUUCAAAAGUGAAAGACGGUCUUGCUGUCACUUAUAGAUGGAUCCGCGCUGCAUUAGCUAGUUGGUAAGGUAACGGCUUACCAAGGCAACGAUGCAUAGCCGACCUGAGAGGGUGAUCGGCCACACUGGAACUGAGACACGGUCCAGACUCCUACGGGAGGCAGCAGUAGGGAAUCUUCCGCAAUGGGCGAAAGCCUGACGGAGCAACGCCGCGUGAGUGAUGAAGGUCUUCGGAUCGUAAAACUCUGUUAUUAGGGAAGAACAUAUGUGUAAGUAACUGUGCACAUCUUGACGGUACCUAAUCAGAAAGCCACGGCUAACUACGUG
This 497-nucleotide ribosomal RNA is filed under the name uncultured bacterium. RNAcentral's name for it is "partial 16S ribosomal RNA". It matches the Rfam family "Bacterial small subunit ribosomal RNA", at positions 28 to 507 of the family's 1533-position model. The record is from RNAcentral.